GACGAACGCUGGCGGCGUGCUUAACACAUGCAAGUCGAACGGGCCUGUCUUCUUUUUUGGGGGGUGGGUUGAGUGGCGAACGGGUGAGUAUCACGUGAGUAACCUGCCCUUCGGUCCUGGAUAACCGCUUGAAAGGGCGGCUAAUACGGGGUGGUCCGGUUGGUCCGCAUGGGCUGGUCGGGAUAGCUUCACUGUUUUUGGUGUUUCGUCGGGGGAUGGGCUCGCGGCCUAUCAGCUUGUUGGUGGGGUGAUGGCCUACCAAGGCGGGGACGGGUAGCCGGCCGGAGGGUGUGGGCGGCCGCACUGGGAAUGAGGUACGGCCCAGACUGCUGCGGGAGGCAGCAGUGGGGGGUAUUGCACAAGGGGGGGUAGCCUGAUGCAGCGGCGUCGGGUGAGGGAGGGAGGCCUUCGGGUUGUGAACCUCUGUUUCCGGUGGUGAAGGCCCUGUCCGUGUGGUGGGGUUGACGGUAGCCGGGGAUGAAGCGCCGGCUAACUACGUG
This 500-nucleotide ribosomal RNA is filed under the name uncultured bacterium. RNAcentral describes it as "partial 16S ribosomal RNA". It matches the Rfam family "Bacterial small subunit ribosomal RNA", at positions 28 to 507 of the family's 1533-position model. The record is from RNAcentral.